AAGCCCUGAUUCUCUGGAACUGUUUUGGGCAUGGGACCAUGCUUGCGGUCGGUCAAAUAAAGGACUUCCAUGGAAUUUUUGAACCUUUGCUCUGAUCUGGGUUAUUUUUGGAUAUGUUGUUCACCCAGAUCAGGGCUAUCAGGGGAUUUAUGGGGAUAUGCUGUGUUUUGGGGUACUUUUGGGACUUUUUUAAAAAGUGUGGUUUUUCUGCCUGGAGAUAAUUGAGUUCAUACAGUAAUUAACUCAAUUAUCUCCCAAGCAGAGGGGAGGGAUUGUUUGCCUUGUGUGGGAGUGUGUAUGUCUGAGUGAUUUUGUGUGUCUGGCUAUCAGUGUGUAUGUGAGUGAUUGUGUAUGUAUGUCUGUCAAUGUGUAUGUGAGUGAUUGUGUAUGUCUGGCUGUCAAUGUGUAUGUGAGUGAUUAUGUAUGUAUGUCUGUCAGUGUGUAUGUGAGUGAUUGUGUAUGUCUGUCAGUGUGUAUCUGAGUGAUUGUGUGUGUCUGGCUGUCAGUGUGUGUAUGUGAGUGUGUGUAUGUCUGUCAGUGUGUCUGUCACUGUGUGGCUGUCUGUCAGUGAGUGAGAGUGUGUGUGUGUCUGCAGGGACAUGUCUUCUGCGAGGCAAACAAGGCAUCUGCCUUGGGCAAAAAAAGCCGCCCCCCAAACGCCCUUGCUUGCCUCGCGUCCUGGGGGGUUUAAGGGCUGGCCGGAUGUGGGCAGCAAGGGAG
Non-coding RNA from Pelobates cultripes (western spadefoot toad), 720 nucleotides. The record is from the annotation of a GenBank genome assembly. Lineage: Eukaryota; Metazoa; Chordata; Amphibia; Anura; Pelobatidae.